UAAUAAUAGUUGAAUCGAACGGGUUCUGGGGCUUGCCAGCCGCGAGACCGUGGAGCGGUCAGCGUCCCACGUGAGUGGGGGCGGGGCAGCGCCCGGAAGAGAGCGAGCUGGAGCAGCCUCAGGCACGGGUUCCGGAUGGACUCGGGGUCUUGAGAUUGGGUUGGCACGGAUAGGAAUUUAAUAAAAUCGGUGCUCUUAUGAUA
This 203-nucleotide long non-coding RNA is filed under the name Homo sapiens (human). Its description in RNAcentral is "HSALNT0094517". The record is from RNAcentral. Lineage: Eukaryota; Metazoa; Chordata; Mammalia; Primates; Hominidae.